AUCAUUUAGAGGAAGGAGAAGUCGUAACAAGGUUUCCGUAGGUGAACCUGCGGAAGGAUCAUUGUCGAAACCUCCAAAUGACCCGCGAACCAGUUAUCCACAAGUCGGGGGUGUCGGGCUGAACCCCGUAACCCCCGUGCGCCGGUGGCGGUCAGGCGUGCCAAGCUCUUGGCACGGUUGGCCCGUCACCUGCCCAACAAACCAACCCCGGCGCGGCACGCGCCAAGGAACUUUGCAUCAUGAGAAGGACAAUGCCCCCGUCCGUGCCGGAAAUCGGAUAACGCGGCCGGUGGCUUUCCUUCGGUUCAUAACUAAAACGACUCUCGGCAACGGAUAUCUAGGCUCUUGCAUCGAUGAAGAACGUAGCGAAAUGCGAUACUUGGUGUGAAUUGCAGAAUCCCGUGAACCAUCGAGUCUUUGAACGCAAGUUGCGCCCGAAGCCUUCUGGCCGAGGGCACGUCUGCCUGGGUGUCACACAUCGUCGCCCCCAAAACCAAUGCCUCUUUCGAGUUCAUUGGGUACAGGAUGGGCGGAUAAUGGUCUCCCGUGCGCACCCGUUCGCGGUUGGCCCAAAACUUUGUUCCUUGCGAUCGCAAGCCAUGACCAGCGGUGGUUGUAAGACCCUCGGUCAUAGUCGUGAGCUUGCACGUCGGGACUCAUCGACCCUGAACGUGAUUGAGAAACCUCGAACACUCACAAAGUGACCCCAGGUCAGGCGGGACUACCCGCUGAAUUUAAGCAUAUCAAUAA
RNAcentral lists this unclassified non-coding RNA (750 nucleotides) under Hypericum lagarocladum. Its description in RNAcentral is "partial contains small subunit ribosomal RNA, internal transcribed spacer 1, 5.8S ribosomal RNA, internal transcribed spacer 2, and large subunit ribosomal RNA". The stretch from base 319 to 474 matches the Rfam family "5.8S ribosomal RNA". Lineage: Eukaryota; Viridiplantae; Streptophyta; Magnoliopsida; Malpighiales; Hypericaceae. The record is from RNAcentral.